UGCAAGUCGAACGGCAGCGGGGGAAAGCUUGCUUUCCUGCCGGCGAGUGGCGAACGGGUGAGUAAUACAUCGGAACGUGCCCUGUAGUGGGGGAUAACUAGUCGAAAGAUUAGCUAAUACCGCAUACGACCUGAGGGUGAAAGUGGGGGACCGCAAGGCCUCAUGCUAUAGGAGCGGCCGAUGUCUGAUUAGCUAGUUGGUGGGGUAAAGGCCUACCAAGGCGACGAUCAGUAGCUGGUCUGAGAGGACGAUCAGCCACACUGGGACUGAGACACGGCCCAGACUCCUACGGGAGGCAGCAGUGGGGAAUUUUGGACAAUGGGCGAAAGCCUGAUCCAGCAAUGCCGCGUGUGUGAAGAAGGCCUUCGGGUUGUAAAGCACUUUUGUCCGGAAAGAAAUGGCUCUGGUUAAUACCCGGAGUUGAUGACGGUACCGGAAGAAUAAGGACCGGCUAACUACGUGCCAGCAGCCGCGGUAAUACGUAGGGUCCAAGCGUUAAUCGGAAUUACUGGGCGUAAAGCGUGCGCAGGCGGUUGUGCAAGACCGAUGUGAAAUCCCCGGGCUUAACCUGGGAAUUGCAUUGGUGACUGCACGGCUAGAGUGUGUCAGAGGGAGGUAGAAUUCCACGUGUAGCAGUGAAAUGCGUAGAGAUGUGGAGGAAUACCGAUGGCGAAGGCAGCCUCCUGGGAUAACACUGACGCUCAUGCACGAAAGCGUGGGGAGCAAACAGGAUUAGAUACCCUGGUAGUCCACGCCCUAAACGAUGUCAACUAGUUGUUGGGGAUUCAUUUCCUUAGUAACGUAGCUAACGCGUGAAGUUGACCGCCUGGGGAGUACGGUCGCAAGAUUAAAACUCAAAGGAAUUGACGGGGACCCGCACAAGCGGUGGAUGAUGUGGAU
This 900-nucleotide ribosomal RNA is filed under the name Ralstonia mannitolilytica. Its description in RNAcentral is "bacterial SSU rRNA". It matches the Rfam family "Bacterial small subunit ribosomal RNA", at positions 56 to 946 of the family's 1533-position model. Lineage: Bacteria; Pseudomonadati; Pseudomonadota; Betaproteobacteria; Burkholderiales; Burkholderiaceae. The record is from RNAcentral.